AAUUGAAGAGUUUGAUCAUGGCUCAGAUUGAACGCUGGCGGCAGGCCUAACACAUGCAAGUCGAACGGUAACAGGAAGCAGCUUGCUGCUUUGCUGACGAGUGGCGGACGGGUGAGUAAUGUCUGGGAAACUGCCUGAUGGAGGGGGAUAACUACUGGAAACGGUGGCUAAUACCGCAUAACGUCGCAAGACCAAAGAGGGGGACCUUCGGGCCUCUUGCCAUCAGAUGUGCCCAGAUGGGAUUAGCUUGUUGGUGAGGUAACGGCUCACCAAGGCGACGAUCCCUAGCUGGUCUGAGAGGAUGACCAGCCACACUGGAACUGAGACACGGUCCAGACUCCUACGGGAGGCAGCAGUGGGGAAUAUUGCACAAUGGGCGCAAGCCUGAUGCAGCCAUGCCGCGUGUAUGAAGAAGGCUUCGGGUUGUAAAGUACUUUCAGCGGGGAGGAAGGUGUUGUGGUUAAUAACCGCAGCAAUUGACGUUACCCGCAGAAGAAGCACCGGCUAACUCCGUGCCAGCAGCCGCGGUAAUACGGAGGGUGCAAGCGUUAAUCGGAAUUACUGGGCGUAAAGCGCACGCAGGCGGUCUGUCAAGUCGGAUGUGAAAGUCCCCGGGCUCAACCUCGGGAACUGCAUUCGAAACUGGCAGGCUUGAGUCUUGUAGAGGGGGUAGAAUUCCAGGUGUAGCG
This 689-nucleotide ribosomal RNA is filed under the name Salmonella enterica subsp. enterica serovar Enteritidis str. 10-34587. Its description in RNAcentral is "bacterial SSU rRNA". It matches the Rfam family "Bacterial small subunit ribosomal RNA", at positions 1 to 680 of the family's 1533-position model. Lineage: Bacteria; Pseudomonadati; Pseudomonadota; Gammaproteobacteria; Enterobacterales; Enterobacteriaceae. The record is from RNAcentral.